RNAcentral lists this ribosomal RNA (396 nucleotides) under uncultured bacterium. Its description in RNAcentral is "partial 16S ribosomal RNA". It matches the Rfam family "Bacterial small subunit ribosomal RNA", at positions 338 to 732 of the family's 1533-position model. The record is from RNAcentral.
CCUACGGGAGGCAGCAGUGAGGAAUAUUGGUCAAUGGGCGCGAGCCUGAACCAGCCAAGUCGCGUGAGGGAAGACGGUCCUAUGGAUUGUAAACCCUUUUUGUCGGGGAGCAAAAGACGCCACGCAUGGCGUUCCCAGAGUACCCUAGCAACAAGCAUCGGCAAACCCCGGGCCAGACGCCGCGGUAAUACGGAGGAUGCGGGCGUUAUCCGGAUUUAUGGGGGUAAGGGGGUGGGCAGGGGGAAGAUCAAGUCAGAGGUAAAAUCUAGGGGCUCAACCGCUACUAGCAGUUGAAACUGGUAUGCUAGAGUGUGGGAGAGGUAGGCAGAAUGCGUGGUGUAGCGGUGAAAUGCGUAGAGAUCACGAAGAAUACCGAUUGCGAAGGCAGCAUACCGG